RNAcentral lists this ribosomal RNA (478 nucleotides) under uncultured bacterium. RNAcentral's name for it is "partial 16S ribosomal RNA". It matches the Rfam family "Bacterial small subunit ribosomal RNA", at positions 28 to 507 of the family's 1533-position model. The record is from RNAcentral.
GAUGAACGCUAGCGGGAGGCCUAACACAUGCAAGCCGAGCGGUAUUGUUUCUUCGGAAAUGAGAGAGCGGCGUACGGGUGCGUAACACGUGUGCAACCUGCCUUUAUCUGGGGGAUAGCCUUUCGAAAGGAAGAUUAAUACUCCAUAAUAUAUUGAACGGCAUCGUUUAAUAUUGAAAGCUCCGGCGGAUAGAGAUGGGCACGCGCAAGAUUAGCUAGUUGGUGAGGUAACGGCUCACCAAGGCGAUGAUCUUUAGGGGGCCUGAGAGGGUGACCCCCACACUGGUACUGAGACACGGACCAGACUCCUACGGGAGGCAGCAGUGAGGAAUAUUGGUCAAUGGGUGCAAGCCUGAACCAGCCAUCCCGUGUGAAGGACGACUGCCCUAUGGGUUGUAAACUUCUUUUGUAUAGGGAUAAACCUACCCUCGAGAGGGUAGCUGAAGGUACUAUACGAAUAAGCACCGGCUAACUCCGUG